Molecule: ribosomal RNA, 328 nt
Filed under: uncultured eukaryote
Lineage: Eukaryota
Description: partial 18S ribosomal RNA
Rfam family: Eukaryotic small subunit ribosomal RNA
Source: RNAcentral
CCCUUAGAUGUUCUGGGCUGCACGCGCGCUACACUGAAGCGUUCAACGAGUAUUCACCUUGCCCGGGAGGGUUGGGUAAUCUUUUGAAAACGCUUCGUGAUGGGGAUAGAUUAUUGCAAUUAUUAAUCUUCAACGAGGAAUGCCUAGUAAGCGUGAUUCAUCAAAUCGCGUUGAUUACGUCCCUGCCCUUUGUACACACCGCCCGUCGCUCCUACCGAUUGAGUGUGUUGGUGAGGAGUUCGGAUUGGCAGCAGGUGGUGGUUCGCCACCGCCUAUUGCUGAGAAGUUCUCCAAACCGCCCCACUUAGAGGAAGGAGAAGUCGUAACA